UGGGGAAUCUUGCGCAAUGGGCGAAAGCCUGACGCAGCAACGCCGCGUGUGUGAUGAAGGUCUUCGGAUCGUAAAGCACUGUCGCGAGGGACGAAUAAGGGGCGGGCUAACAUCCCGUUUCGAUGACGGUACCUCGAGAGGAACCACCGGCUAACUGUGUG
Molecule: ribosomal RNA, 161 nt
Filed under: uncultured bacterium
Lineage: Bacteria
Description: partial 16S ribosomal RNA
Rfam family: Bacterial small subunit ribosomal RNA
Source: RNAcentral